UAUAUAAACUGUGAAAUUAUCUCUGGGGAAAAAAAAUCUUCUCUCUUACUUGAUAAUCAAGUUUAUCGAUGAUACGAAUAUAACAAUAAAAUUGAAAUUGUACAAUUUUAUAUAGAAAAUAAUCACCGACGUAUCGUUCUAUUCUCAUCGAAAUAUAAUUCAUCUUUAAUCUCCAUAUAUAUUAAUCAUCGUCAUAAAAUUCAAAUAAGUAAUAUCGGAUCGGAUCAAAAUAUCAACAUUGGAUAUUGAAAUUCUCGGUAAAAACGUUAUUACUCACGAAUCAUUAACACAUUCCAAAACGAAGAAUAUUUAUACGAAAAAAAAAAAAAAGAAAAUCUUAUCCCCUGCAUGUAUCGUGUAAUCGCGCAAGAAAUAUUAUUCUCGUUCUUCCUUGUGUAAUCAUCCAAUUUAUAAUCAACAUUCCCCGUCUCGAUAUGUUAUGUCAGAAAGUGUUUGCCAAUUACACGCAACGAUUGGAUCUAUGACUGCGGCUAUGACUCAUAAAUAAUGCGCAAGUGCAUGUCUCGCGGCCUAUUUGGAAGGCUCGUUUGGAAAAACUCACGUGGAAGGCACGUGAAGUUAAUCGCGCGACCGAUUGGGAGGCGGAAGGCCACGAAGUCACGGCGCCUGGGAUUCGACCACGAUCCGAACGAGAGAGGAUCGAGAACAAGCGAGAGAGACAAAUGAGGCCUCGUUAAAUGGAACACAAUCGACGUGACGCAUGGCCUUAGCCUAGUUGUGGGAUAGAGAUAGGAGAAAGAGAGGGAGAGAGAGAGAAGAGGUUUUAAGUAAAUCGUCUAAUCGCGACUGCGGUACCUUGUAAGGACAAAUUCGUGUUUGUCGAGCGGAUGAAACUUGCCUUUUGGGAUGCGUUAAAUCUGGGAUCGAUUGGUUCUAUUGGAGGUAUUUUUCGCAAGCUUUUAGGAAAGGAACUAUAAGAAAUUUGGGAAGAUUGUUGUAGUUUCUUCUUUAUUGUGGUAUUAAAUUAUUCUUUCAAAGUUCUUCUUCAGAAAAGUCAUACGUAAGUAAUGCGACCAAUAUUGCGUCGAAUUUAAAACACUUUUCUUGAACUAGCAUUUACAAAUCUUCGACAAAGCUCACGUAUUUCCUUUUUUCUAAUCUUCUAUUUCCAUUUUUAGAUGAUAUCAUCGAAUUCAAGCGACUGCCAAAAAGUUGAGAGCUUCAUAAUCUCCGUCAUAUUAGCAUAGGAAAAUGGAAGAAUUAAUUUUUCAUUCUUCGCUCGAGUCGAUCUUGAUUCGAUCGAUCAAAGUGCCGACGAAAAUGAUUGAACACGCGCGUGUACACGCGCACAAUCUGAACCUACACAUGGGGCAUAAAGAACGAGAGGAAUUAGCGUUCAGCAACAGACAACAGGGAGUCUCAGGGAGUGUGGAACGUUUCGUUGAGGCGGCCUACCUAGACACUUGACAGACUUGUGCUUUGCACAAUAGUAGGAAGCGCUAAAAAUAAUCCGGCUCCACGACGUUCUGGCCUUGGCCAGCCUCGAUCCUCUCAACCUGGCGGUACCACCUUCUUCUUCUUCUUCUUCUUCUUCUUCUUCUGCUUCUUCUUCUUCUUCUUCUUCUUCUUCUUCUGCUUCUUCUUCUUCUUCUUCUUCUUCUCUUUCUCUCUCCGCGUCCUCUCUCUCCCAAUUGCUCUUCAUCUAACCUGUUCCAUUCUCCCAGACACGAUUCAACGGUACGUCACCCGUGGACGACCUAUCUUUUUUUCUUUUUUUUUUCCUUUUUUACUCUGCCGUUUCGUGCACGCACAGAAUGCCCACCCACACGUGCCGGAUAGGUUGUGUGGGCGUUGGAUUUUUCUUAUGUCUUUGAGCGAUGGAGUACCUCUCUGGCUCCCUCCUUUCCACGUGCUUCUCGUUACCCUCGCUCUGACAGGUCUCCCUGGCGACCCGAGUCGUGCCUUUUUGGGAGGGAAGGAGGGAGGGGGAUGAGGUGAGAAGCUAUGAAACUGUAAUCCCAUAUUUGUGAGACGAUACGUAACUGUUAAGGUACAUUCUCGCCGAGAAUAGAAGUUUUCCAUUGAGGAGAUUGAUGGUUGUUGUUUUUCCAUAAUGUUUCUUCCAGUUUUUCUCUCUCACAAUGGUGGAAGUUGGUGUUUUUUUUUUCUUGAAAUGAUCGAAUAGAAAAAUUGAUAUUAUCAAUUUUUGUAAAUGGUGAUAACCAAUGCGUGAUGACAGGAAGAGAGGAAGUUAAAGAUUGGUAUGUUAAUAGUUUUUUCUACAAUGUAUUUUAUAUUCCAAAAAUUUGGAUAGUCUCGAUUCUGAUUACAGAAUAGAUUUGAAUAGAGUUUUGUUUUUUGAGAACAUCGUUUUGAGAAAAAUGCAGUUACGUUAAUAGUAUUUUUUAUUCUUGUUAGAUUAACAGUCAGUAAUAAGAAAUAUGUUAAAUAAAGAAAAUAUUAUUCUACGAUUUGCAUUUAGGAAUAGUAAAUUCAAGGUAAAUUCAUGGUAAAUGUUUAAAGGUAAAUUAUUGAAAUUAUUACAAAUUGUUUUUGUAUCGUAAUCGUAAUUCAUCUCAUUAAUUAUGAAUCUUACAGGGCAAACGGAUAAUAUGCUGAAGAGGAAAAGAUGGAAUAAGAAGUAUAUUAAUUUUAGAUUUGAAAAGUGUCUCUUUUAUUUGAAAAAUAUUUUAAUAAAGAGUCUCAAACAAUCAAUCAUUCAAGUUUCUAGGAUAUUAAAAAAAUUUUAACUACGUAUUCGUUCAGGAGUAUCAAUCUCAUACAACAAAAUUCUAUAAAAAUUUCUAUGAAAACUUGUACGAUUUCACACACGUGAUUUGCCUCGAAACAGAAGGAAAACUAUAAUAUGUGAUAUUAAAGAAGUUUACGAAACAGAUUCGUAAUAAAACGAUACACUUUGGAAUCCACCAUAUGCUCAGAUAGUAAAAUCUUACGAAACUUUAGAAGAAUAGUGGCUGGAUAAUAUUUAUUACAAACUUAAAACGGAAGAAAAAUAAUUCAUUUUCAAAGAAACAAGAAAGACUUUUCAAAUAGGACCAAACGAAUAGACAAAAUUUAUAACAUUUAUAAAACUUACAUCAUGAUACUUAAUAGAUAUUGUUUUUUUUUAUGAUUAAUGACAACUAAAUGGAUUUAUAAUAUUUAUUAAACUUAAACAACUAUAAAGGUACAUUAUCUUUCAAAUAUGCACAAUAAUUUUCAAAUGUUAAUUCCAUUAAUUUAAAAUUGAUGGAUCCAUAAAAGUUGGGCCCCAGUCUGUAAGACACACACGUAAGACUACGUAAAAACGCAUAACUCGUUACGCUGAGAAAACUUUCACCAAAACUGCAGAAUUUAUUCCUUGCGAGAUAAAUGUACCAACUUUUAUAUACCCUCGUGUUAUACGUGUUGCAACAAUUAUAACACGUAACGAAGAAAAAUUGAAGGAGAAACCCAUUUUCAUCAACGAUCACGAUCCCAUCCCAUCCCAUGGGCACAAAGGGACCUGACUUAUGCGAAAGGGGAGAGGCAUUCGCCCGAUAUCUCGAUCGAUGUCGAAGGGAUCUUGCACGCUCAUCGACAAUCGGCGUCGAGACGUCCGUGGAGAACGUGGAUGACGUACAACGCGGGCGAAAUGACAGCAACCACCGGCGGCGGGUCAUACGGUGAUCCACGCCGCAUUCUGCACGCUCGGUUGCAUCUAGAUGCUUAUCGUUACCCAUUGUUACCCCGUCUCGUUUCCUUCUCUUUGUUCUCCGCGCCUCGUCCAACACCGGUGACGCACUUAAUAAAUAGAUAAUUACGUUGCAGAAUGCGACUCUGCAUUGUCCGCGGGGACCUAUUUUUAAAUCGCGAUACACUCUUCUUCUAUUUUUCGAAACACGAAGCCUUGGGAUCCUCGAGAGCCCUCCUCAUUGUUGGGACGCGAUAUUUCGUUUCUAUCUCUUAAAACACGAAUACUCGCGAAAUACUCGAGGAUAAUAUUGUCGAGAUACGGAAAUAAAAAUAAAAAAUCUUGAAAUUACUGAAAUGUACAAUUGUAAAUAUUUACAAAAAAAAAGAAGCCAUCUCAGCCACAUGUAUUCCAAUGUGCACGACACGUGUAAAUAUAUCGAGGCAGAUUUAAUAUCCUUCGAUAAAAUCUUGGAACAGAAGCGAAUCCAUUCGAACUAUUUCUUUCGACGAAAAAAAAAAAAAGAAAAGAAAAGAAAAGAGUAUCGAUCAUUCGUCAUCUGUAACCGCGUGUCGCAUCGCGCCACUGGACAGAAGGCACGCUCCUCAAACUUCACCUCCUUGCCCUCCCCUCGCGGCGAUAAAACGAGAUGGUGGCAAACACGUUCCUUGUGCCCUGGCUGCCAGAUAAACUAGGAGUCUCGUUAAGAUCGACGAUACGACGAUUUCGACGACAACUACGGAGCCGUCUCUCGGUGAAGAGCGAUCGUUAAGGAUCCUCUAACGAGGAGCCCCGUGCAACCGGAGGACAAUGGAGGAAGAAGAGAGAGAGAAGGAGAAUCUCGUCCAGCCUCUCUAUAUAUAUAUAUAUACGUGUGCUCCCUCCCUUUGGAUCGUGCACACCACACGAUUUUCAUCUUGCCUUACCUCGCCACGCUUAUCCUUGUCCCUCCUUUUCAUCAUUCUCGUCAAUGCACCAACCCUCUCGUCUACGUAUUAACGAGGAAACGACGGAAUCGCGACACGAUUCCUUCCUUCCUUCCUUCCUUCCUUCCUCGAGCUAUGUGUCACGAUUCGUUUGGUUAGGGAUGAUUGCGUCCUCGCGAUUGGUUUUGAUUUUUCACGAAGGAUUUUUUAAUGCAAGGACGAAUUGAAAUAUCCGGAGAGGCGAGAGAAAGAUUCUUUUCUUGUUCUUUUCUGUUCACGAAAGAGAUUUCUUGGUCCAAAAAAUAUGUAUUGGAUGUGUAAGAAGUUAUCGCUCUUGCCACGAUUUCUUUUCUUCUUGUGGCUGUCCUUUGAUGAGACUAUUCUUUUUUAAUUAUUAUUCUUCUUCUCUAAUUUCACACUUCUCUUACCAAGAGUUAGGUAAUAUAUUUUGGAAAUCAGGAUGAUUUGUUUUCUUUGCAAGUCGUUAAUAAUGAUCAAUCCAUAAAUCGUCUUAAAGUUUCACGAUUAGGAGAAAUAUUAUAGGAAACGAAUGAAAAAGAGAUUCCAUAAUUCCAUGGAUGAAUAGAGAUUAUUGCAAUAAGAGAGGAACUUGUUUUUUUUUUCUGUACAUUUCUCACGAAUCGACAAUGAUUCUGAAAUCCAGAAAUUCCAGAAUCGGUAACAAGCGAGACGGAAAAUCGUCCUUGGUCCGUUAGAUCUCGUGCACGAGCUUCGUGCAGGCCGAAAGGUUAACCUCGAAAUCAACGACGCGUGGAGCAUCCUCUUCGUCUUCUAUUUUCUCCGCUUUCCAGCCUCUCUUCCUUCGCCUCGACCGGUUAACGGGACCAGGCAUCAAUUAGACAAGCGAAUCUUCCCGUGGAACAACACGCUGGAUUCCUCGAUUCUUCUCUUUUGAUUCGUAUGUUUUAUUGAUUAUUUAAGAAACAUCUUUUUUGGUUUUUUUGAAAUUUUAAUUAUCAAUUAUCCAUUCUUAAGAGAAUGCACGCAAAGUGUAUUUUGACUCGUGUCCAUCGAAUUGAAUUUUUUAAUUAUUAUUAUAUGGAAUCUUCGAUCCUCUUUUAAUUAUCAUAAUUCUUAUAUCAUUAAGAAUAUUUUUACAAGUCGUGUUAUUAGUUUUCUUGUGAAAAUAGUAGAUUUUGAAGAAAAUAAAGGUAAAAGUAUAAGAUCUUCAUAUUUCCUCUUGCAACUAGAUUUUAUUCGUUUCAUUCUUUCUUAUGAUUAUUUUGUAACUUUCAACUUCUUUCGGGGAUAAAAUUAUUCUGUUCUCCUAUAUCUUAAACGAAAACACUUUCAUAUCUUGAAUUUCAGAAUAUUUUUUAUUUUAUUGUGCAAGUUGUUCCAAUCCUAUCUAUCGUGUUUUAUCUUAUGCCCCCCAUAAGGGAAUAUUUAUCGACUGUGUAAAAUUUAUUUCGCUCUCGUUUGCAAUUUAAAGGGAAGAAGUAUCAGGAAGAUGGAAGAUUAUCGGUACACGUAACGAGUUCUUUCCUUAUAAAUUUCCAAGACGAAACUCGUAAGUGACUCUACGAGAAUCGUAGAUUAUAAUCUCUGGUAAUUCUUCGUCCUCCUUACGGGUAAACUUGUUCUGAAAAUUCCUCUGAAUCACUCUUAUUACAUUAUUAUUAUUCUUAUCGCAAACUGCAACUUACAUUACAUCCUCCAAACAAACUUCAUUCACACACGUUUUGAAUAUUCUCGAAAAAUCAUCAAAUGGCGAAAAGAAGUCAUUCUUAAAAAGCCUUUAUUUUCGUGCCCCUGCCUUUUAUUCAACCUCUCCAACAAUCCCAUUAUUGCCACGAACCGGCAAACACACUUCUCGAAAUUCGCUAUUCCGUAUCAUUAACGGGGAUCCAGAGUUCCAAUCUCGAAAAGAGCACAUCCUACGCUCGAGAUCGGACGCCAGAUAAAUUGGCCUGAUGUCUCUGCGAUAUCCGUUCAUUCGUACUGCGAACGUUGCACCGCGAAAUCGUGCGCUGCGCAGGAAGGCAGCAACGAAUUAUGAUCACUGGAGCCACGUAUCGUGGUUGUCAUCGACUCUGCCCACGUUGUUGCACAAGUAGAACGUUGCAUCGUGAAUAUAUUAUUCUGAUUGUUAAAGAAUAAAGGGGAGUAAAAAUAAUUAAAUAAUUUCUCUCGUUUUGCCAAGAUUUUCCAUAAUCGUGCUCUUAAUUUUCCAAUUAUAUUUGGAUCUUAAAAUAACUAGGGCUAGAUUUCUGGAAAUAUUCGAUGGAUGAUUACUUUUCUUGAAUUUAUCUACUUGUCAUCGUUUACGAUUCGAUUGUCGGAUAUUCAUCCUUUCUCGUCGAAACUAUAAGAUUUUCCACGUUUAUACCAUUCGUUACAUCAUCAUACGAUAUUCGUUACAUGCAAUUACGAUCUUAGAUCGCGUGAAACUCUUGACAUUUCGCUUCUUAUCUCUCACCCUCGUCAUCUUUACCGCGAGAUAUCCGCGUUUUAGCGUCGAUCGUAAUUCCGUCCCGCCUUUGUCAUCCGGCAUAAGCGUGGAGAGGAAAGAGAGGGCGGUGAACUAAGCGCGCGUGCAUUGUUGGCGAGACUCGUGUUUAUGGGGCACGGGAUAGGAUAUGCACGGGACUGGUAUUUGGAAGCCCGCGUUCCUGCGUGCUCCUCGAGAUAUAUAUCUACAGCAGGCUUAUCUCGCGAACGUGAAGGUUUUCGAGGAUCCACUCACUCACGGUCCUCCCCUCGUUUCCAGAUGACACGUCCCCGAUUGCCCGUGACAAGAUGGAGCAUUAGGUCGAGACAUUUCUCCCCUCCCCGCUUCUUUUUUCUUUUAUUUCACGUUGCACAGGUGUCUUUGGAGACAGUCUUUUGGAGAAAGGGGAGAGUAAUUUACGAGUUGAUAAUCCCCGUGAAAUUUUAAUCGACACGAUGGACCGAGUAAGCAGUGUGUGUGAUGAAACUUGGAAGAGGAGAUGUUAAGUUUGAGUGGGAGUUCGCGUUAAAACUAUACGUUUAAAGAUUUAGAUAGGGAAUCUUUCGUGUAUUUACAUUUCAACUUCAGUUUUAGGUGAUGAAUAUUUAAAAAUAGAAACAUUCUUCAGUUCGUUCUCUCGAAAAUAUAUAAAAUAAAAAUCAACGCUAUUCUACGCAUAUUCACGAUGCGAUAUCCUCUAACGCGAUCUUUCAACGGUCAGAGAAAUGACUUUACCGUUUCCGAUUUCCAGAUAUUAUUUAUUCUCCGUCACGCUGCAUCCUGUAUCGAAUUUCUUGAAAAAUAGUAAUCAACUCCUCGUCCAUAAUCCGCAUGCAACACCACCGCGCCAUCUAGCUCAGUUUCUCAGGAAAUACUGUUGCAACAACGAUCCCACUGUGCUCCAUCUCACGGAUUAUUUAUUUCUAUCCCAUCCUCCUCUCGUAAAUAGCGGCGUUAAUUUCCUGGAAACACGCGUUGCAAGCGUGUUUUUUUUUGCGCGCGCGCGUGGAAAAAGCCGUAGCGAAAGUCUCUCUCUUCUACCGUAAGGAAGGAAGAUCUACCGAGAAUCGCGUCUCUCUUUCCCGGUACUCGACCUCGCUCCGCUCUCCUCGUUUCCCAUUUCGGCCUGGAGCACGAUCCACUCUCCUACGACGUCUAGGCAGCCAGCUCCGGGCGUGCUCUUUGUCCUGUGACCCAGAUAGGAGAAACGGCGCGAGAAAGGCUUAGAUAAGAACCAGGCCUUCCUUCUCUUCCCACUUUCUGCAUCGUCACGUAGCGAAAUGAAUGCGCUCGUGUUCAGCCUGGGCGACAUAAACGGAUGCACCUCUGUCUUGCAUGAGUUUUAGAGGAGAUCUGCCGCUUCCAUAAAUUUUCUAUCUCGUGAAAUUUCUCGAUUGUUAAUUUCUUAAGAUCUUUCUAAUUGAUGAUGGUUUGGUUUUGUUUGAUCAAUCUUGUAAGAAUUAAUAAUCUUUCAAAGGGGUUUUAUUUCGAAAUUUUACGACAAUCUUGGGAAAUUCUCGUCGGUGUUGAAAAAUGUUGAAGGAAAAAAAAAAAAAAGAAAAAGCAAGGCGUUAAACACACGCGGGUGCAUGGCCUCGUUUCCAGGCAGGCUUAGAAAGCAGAACAACUUUUCAACGAUAACAUCGUCUGCCCGACGUGGCAAUUUUAAUUAGCCACAUCAUAUUAGGAUUUUUACGCGUCGUUCUCUAUACUCUUGUCGUUUCGAAAGUCUUUCCGGAACUCUGCUUCUGAUCGGAAAAGAUAAAAGCUGGAAAAAGUAGAUGUUGCCAGUUUCGCAGAUUUCCUUCGGGGAUAUACGGAAGACUUUGUGAAAUUCUUAGAUUACAAGUAUCGAGAUUAACGUGAUAAUUGAUGUUUUCGAGAUUCUUUAAUAUCGAUUCAUUAUCGUAAGAAAGUUUGGAAUUAAUAAGAAAUUUUAAAUAAAAAGACAGGCAUUAAAUUUGU
This is a long non-coding RNA of Apis mellifera (honey bee), 8977 nucleotides long. RefSeq lists it as uncharacterized. The record is from RefSeq and is a predicted model, not a curated record. The transcript has 3 exons. Lineage: Eukaryota; Metazoa; Arthropoda; Insecta; Hymenoptera; Apidae.